Non-coding RNA from Nomascus leucogenys (northern white-cheeked gibbon), 636 nucleotides. The record is from RefSeq and is a predicted model, not a curated record. Lineage: Eukaryota; Metazoa; Chordata; Mammalia; Primates; Hylobatidae.
GAUGGUGGAGGUGCAGGUCCUGGUGCUUGAUGGUCGAGGCCAUCUCCUGGGCCGCCUGGCGGCCAUCGUGGCUAAACAGGUACUGCUGGGCCGGAAGGUGGUGGUGGUAGGCUGCGAAGGCAUCAACAUUUCUGGCAAUUUCUACAGAAACAAGUUGAAGUACCUGGCUUUCCUCCGCAAGCGGAUGAACACCAACCCUUCCGAGGGCCCUACCACUUCCGGGCCCCCAGCCGCAUCUUCUGGCGGACCGUGUGAGGUACGCUGCCCCACAAGACCAAGCGAGGCCAGGCCGCUCUGGACCGCCUCAAGGUGUUUGACAGCAUCCCACCGCCCUAUGACAAGAAAAAGCGGAUGGUGGUUCCUGCUGCCCUCAAGGUUGUGCGUCUGAAGCCUACAAGAAAGUUUGCCUAUCUGGGGCGCCUGGCUCACGAGGUUGGCUGGAAGUACCAGGCAGUGACAACCACCCUGGAGGAGAAGAGGAAAGAGAAAGCCAAGAUCUACUACCGGAAGAAGAAACAGCUCAUGAGGCUACGGAAACAGGCCGAGAAAAACGUGGAGAAGAAAACUGACAAAUACACAGAGGUCCUCAAGACACACGGACUCCUGGUCUGAGCCCAAUAAAGACUGUUAAUUCCU